Molecule: ribosomal RNA, 497 nt
Filed under: uncultured bacterium
Lineage: Bacteria
Description: partial 16S ribosomal RNA
Rfam family: Bacterial small subunit ribosomal RNA
Source: RNAcentral
GAUGAACGCUGGCGGCGUGCCUAAUACAUGCAAGUCGAGCGAACAGACGAGGAGCUUGCUCCUCUGACGUUAGCGGCGGACGGGUGAGUAACACGUGGAUAACCUACCUAUAAGACUGGGAUAACUUCGGGAAACCGGAGCUAAUACCGGAUAAUAUAUUGAACCGCAUGGUUCAAUAGUGAAAUACGGUUUUGCUGUCACUUAUAGAUGGAUCCGCGCCGCAUUAGCUAGUUGGUAAGGUAACGGCUUACCAAGGCAACGAUGCGUAGCCGACCUGAGAGGGGGAUCGGCCACACUGGAACGGAGACACGGUCCAGACUCCUACGGGAGGCAGCAGUAGGGAAUCUUCCGCAAUGGGCGAAAGCCUGACGGAGCAACGCCGCGUGAGUGAUGAAGGUCUUCGGAUCGUAAAACUCUGUUAUUAGGGAAGAACAAAUGUGUAAGUAACUAUGCACGUCUUGACGGUACCUAAUCAGAAAGCCACGGCUAACUACGUG